Molecule: small nuclear RNA, 108 nt
Filed under: Castor canadensis (American beaver)
Lineage: Eukaryota; Metazoa; Chordata; Mammalia; Rodentia; Castoridae
Source: RNAcentral
GUGCUCACCUCGGCAGCACAUACACUAAAAGUUGGAACUAUACAGAGAAGAUUAGCAUGGCCCCUGUGCAAGGAUGACAGGCAAAUUCGUGAAGUGUUCCGUAUAAAA